RNAcentral lists this unclassified non-coding RNA (202 nucleotides) under uncultured Cortinarius. Its description in RNAcentral is "sequence contains ITS2". Lineage: Eukaryota; Fungi; Basidiomycota; Agaricomycetes; Agaricales; Cortinariaceae. The record is from RNAcentral.
AUAUAUCAACCUCUCAAGCUUUUGCUUGUAGAGUGUAUGGAUCUGGGGGGAUUUAUUUUGCUGGCCUUUUUACGAGUGUCAGCUCCCCUGAAAUGCAUUAGCAGAACAAUUUGUUGAUCGUUCAUUAGUGUGAUAACUAUCUACGCUGUUGACGUGAAGCAGUUCAGCUUUAAUAACAGUCCAUUGGACAGCAUGUUUAUUA